Molecule: long non-coding RNA, 1763 nt
Organism: Herpailurus yagouaroundi (jaguarundi)
Lineage: Eukaryota; Metazoa; Chordata; Mammalia; Carnivora; Felidae
Exons: 2
Source: RefSeq, a predicted model, not a curated record
AGCCUGCUUGAGGUUCUCUGUCUUGAGGGUCUGUCUCUCUCUCUCUGCCUCUUCACCCUGCUUGCGCGCACACACUCUCAAAAUAAACUGAAAAUAAUUCUGCUCACGAGCCUUUGGCGUGUUUAAGUUUUUACUCAAUUUCAGGAACUGAGAUAGUGAGUGUGUACAGCGUGUCACGUUCAGAUGGAAGUGUGUCCCCUGCCGGGUCGCUGUGUGGUUUCACAGCCAGUGAAUGUGCCGCUCCGAGGGUGGCGCUGCUGACUACGUGGCAGACAUAAAUCGCAUCGUGCCUUUCUCCUCUGGAGGUGAGCAUCACAUCGCUGUGCAAACUUCCGCUUUGUUGUUGUGACGACAGUCACACAGCACAGAAGUCCAUAAAGUAAGUCACCCAUCACACAGGGUAACCACUGCUAACAGGCACGGAGCUUUCUAGAUAUUUCUGUGCACACACGUGCACACAUGAGUACGGAGCUCAGUUUUCUUUUUUAUAAAAAUGGAAUUCUGCAUCCACGCUUCUCCAAAGUGCACUGACUGGUUGUCUUCUACUCCCGUCCUACGAGUGCACCCUCUUCUCGUGUUUGACGAGCAUUCUUUUACUUGUGGCAAAAUAUAUGUAACGUACAGGUUACCAUCUCGUCGGUUUUUAACUCUCCAAGUGUGUGCGCGGUGUUUUCCCUGCUGCCCAUCUCCAUGCUGCUUCAUCCUCCGAACAGAGACUCUGUCCCCAUUAAACACUAACCCCUGUUCCAAACCGUGACCUCUCAGCCUUGGUGCUGCCUCGGCCACCUUCUUUCUGUGUCCAGGAAUCUAGUGUGUUUCCAAGUUCUGUCCAGGUCAUAGCACACAAUGGAGUUUGAUUUCUUCUCAUGGCUGAGUAAUGUUCCUGUGAGCAUCCCGCCCGAUGGCCCUGAAAUACAUAAUUAUGCAGACUCUGUUGGGCCAGCUGCGUCCCCUGGAUCACACCGUGCAGGGCACUGGGUAAUGGAGGGACCCCAGUCACAGGAGGCCACCCACACCCCACCAGACGUCUGCUGCUCAAUUCUUGGGCCAGCAUAGCAUGGUGCUCCAAACCGUCCCUUACCAGGUCCAUGAGCAAAAGCCCUGCAGCACAGGACGGAGACCCAUGUCCUGCCUGAGAGCUUCAGGGGUGAAGCGAGCAGUCACUACCCCAGGGCAGGGGCCCAGCCUCAGAACAUCAUCGGACCCUCUGAGGUGAGGCCGGGACGUGAGCAUCUACGGGUGAGCGCCGGGCACCAUGGGGACCCAGCUAGCUGUCGACGCUGGUGCAUGUGGCACAGCAGCUGCCGGUUAACUGAUGGGCCCGGGUGAGGGGAAAGCGCCUGCCGGCUGCCACGCCAUCCCCAGCCCUCACCCUGCCAGCGUUGCUCUACAGAGACAGCCCCACCUGUCAGGGGAUGGUGAGUGCUGCCCACAAACCAGGGCAGAGCUCUGCCCACGCAGGGACUCAUCCAGGAGCUGAGCCUCAGAGCGCACAUCCCUGGGAGCCCUCUCUCCCUGCGGCUCAGUGGUGACCCGGGAGCACUCGUGACAGUUGCCUCCUCCACUGUGUCCUGCAGGUAGGUGUGGGCAGGUAGUCCAGAGGCUGGAACACAGCUGAGAUCAUUUCUGGACGUGCAGAUCCAGUCACAGUCUUGGGCUGGGAUAGGGCCAGGAGUGUGUACCCCCCGCUCCAGGAAACAAGCUGAAUGUUUGACGAAGAGUUGAAAUGACUUUCUGUAAAGCUUGGCUGUCUGAACACCUUA